Molecule: ribosomal RNA, 253 nt
Filed under: uncultured bacterium
Lineage: Bacteria
Description: partial 16S ribosomal RNA
Rfam family: Bacterial small subunit ribosomal RNA
Source: RNAcentral
UACGAAGGGGGCUAGCGUUGCUCGGAAUCACUGGGCGUAGAGCGCACGUAGGCGGAUUUUUAAGUCAGGGGUGAAAUCCUGGAGCUCAACUCCAGAACUGCCUUUGAUACUGGGAAUCUCGAGUCCGGGAGAGGUGAGUGGAACUGCGAGUGUAGAGGUGAAAUUCGUAGAUAUUCGCAAGAACACCAGUGGCGAAGGCGGCUCACUGGCCCGGUACUGACGCUGAGGUGCGAAAGCGUGGGGAGCAAACAGG